CAGGUGCUGCAUGGCUGUCGUCAGCUCGUGUUGUGAAAUGUUGGGUUAAGUCCCGCAACGAGCGCAACCCUUAUCCUUUGUUGCCAGCGAUUCGGUCGGGAACUCAAAGGAGACUGCCGGUGAUAAACCGGAGGAAGGUGGGGAUGACGUCAAGUCAUCAUGGCCCUUACGAGUAGGGCUACACACGUGCUACAAUGGCGUAUACAAAGAGAAGCGACCUCGCGAGAGCAAGCGGAACUCAUAAAGUACGUCGUAGUCCGGAUUGGAGUCUGCAACUCGACUCCAUGAAGUCGGAAUCGCUAGUAAUCGUAGAUCAGAAUGCUACGGUGAAUACGUUCCCGGGCCUUGUACACACCGCCCGUCACACCAUGGGAGUGGGUUGCAAAAGAAGUAGGUAGCUUAACCUUCGGGAGGGCGCUUACCACUUUGUGAUCCAUGACUGGGGUGAAGUCGUAACAAGGUAACCGUAGGGGAACCUGCGGUUGGAUCA
Molecule: ribosomal RNA, 490 nt
Filed under: Providencia stuartii
Lineage: Bacteria; Pseudomonadati; Pseudomonadota; Gammaproteobacteria; Enterobacterales; Morganellaceae
Description: bacterial SSU rRNA
Rfam family: Bacterial small subunit ribosomal RNA
Source: RNAcentral